Molecule: transfer RNA, 74 nt
Filed under: Lachnospiraceae bacterium G41
Lineage: Bacteria; Bacillati; Bacillota; Clostridia; Lachnospirales; Lachnospiraceae
Also listed under: 2 other names
Rfam family: tRNA
About the family: Transfer RNA (tRNA) molecules are approximately 80 nucleotides in length. Their secondary structure includes four short double-helical elements and three loops (D, anti-codon, and T loops).
Source: Rfam by way of RNAcentral
CGGCGCGUGGCUCAGCUUGGUAGAGCGCUGCGUUCGGGACGCAGAGGUCGUGGGUUCAAAUCCCGUCGCGCCGA